Caretta caretta (loggerhead turtle) is the source of this 2985-nucleotide long non-coding RNA. RefSeq lists it as uncharacterized. NCBI's taxonomy places the organism in Eukaryota, Metazoa, Chordata, Testudines, Cheloniidae. The record is from RefSeq and is a predicted model, not a curated record.
AAGCUCCAUACAUCACUUUCAGAAGUGUAUCUCCCUGAAGAAGGAGAGAAAGUGGAUAAUAUAAAUUAAAAGAAUAUUUCUGAGAUGUACUGUAUGCUACCCUGAACCAAUGCUGAACUGAGGUCUCCUUCUCCAUUCUCCUGUCCAGCAAACUUUGAAAGAAAAUACAUUUAAAAGGCACAGUGGAUGAAAUAAGCUCCAAAAGUGAAGAACAGCAACAAUGUGGAGGUCCAGGAAUCUCUUCAUCACUAGAAUUAUGCUGAUCCUGUUUCCAUAAUCUGAAGAGGAGAAUGAUGCAACACGCCUGAGAACCUGAAUUAGACUGGCUCUUUUAGAAGGAGGGUUCCUGCUGGAGUCAGAAGACAGAAUCCUUCUACCGAUGGGACAACAACAGGAGAUUUAAAAAUUUGAAUAGCGCUUCUAUUCUCAACCCUGUUAUGUUGAUAAAGAGAAACCUUCAACACAGGCACGCUUCAUUCUUUGUGAGGAUGAGAUUUAGACAGUGAAGAACUAGAAAUGCCUGUAACAGUGGUGACCCAGGCUCCGGAGUUAUUCUGAUAUCCAUGGAAAAUAUAAAUGAAUCAUUUGAUGCUGUGGAAUCCCCUUCAGAAGACAUAGAGAGUGGAGGUAGCUUGUCUCAUAUAGCUGCUUUGAAGGCUCCAAAGAAACUGAAACUGCUGGAAACAAGUGAGAUGCUCUCAUCAAAGAUGGUGCUGGGGCAGAUCACAACUGAUACACCAGUACCAAGAGGGAUAGUGCCGGAAAGUCCUGAACAACAGUCUUAAGACCUUGAUCCACACACCCUCUGCUGCCAGUGUCCUCUGUCAAUGUGAGCUCCAGCACUGGCUUCUCUGGUACCCACUUCAUCAAGUCCUUUAAAGGAGACUUUCUCCCAUCAAGCAAUGGAAAUAGAGCAUGGUGCCAAAUAAUGGAUUUAGAGUCUCUCACUUUUCGGACAGGAGGGAUAUCUGACUGCUCUGAAAGCACAGGCAAAGCCUCUUUAGAGCCUCCUUAUCUCUUGAGAUCAAAGUCACAUCCCUGGUGACUGGAGCAUUGAAGAACUUUCCUGAGCAUUUUUCUUCUCAGACUCCAAGAGUGUUCUCAUGUCUUUUCCAAGAGAAAGAGCUUUAACCUGGACUUUUUCUCUUUCUAUGUGCGCUUCUUAAAAGAGUUACAGAUUGUACACUGAGCAACAAUAUGCUCUUCACCCAGGCAAUAAAGAUACUAAUUACGCAUAAAGUGUAAUUGUAAGCCUGUCAGUCCCAGGAUAUUAAAGAGAGGAGGUAAUAUCUUUUAUUGGACCAAAUUCUGUUGGAGAGAGAGACAAACUUUCCAGCUACACAGAGCUCUUCUAUUCCUGGUCUUAUUGAUCGAUAACAAGACAGAAAAUAUCCUAUUGCCCCUAUAUAAAUCCAUGGUAUGCUCACAUUUUGAAUAUUGUGUCCGGAUGUGGCCGCCCCAUCUCAAAAAAGAUAUAGUGGAAUUGGAAAAGGUUCAGAAAAGGGCAACAAAAAUGAUUAGGGGUAUGAAAGAGCUUCAUAUGAGGAGAGAUCAAUAAGACCGGGACUUUUCAGCCUGGAAAAGAGACGACUCGGGGGGAUAGGAUAGAGAUUUAUAAUUGGUAUGGAGAAAGUAAGUAAGUGUUAUUUAUUCCUUCUGAUAACACAAGAACUAGGGAUCACCAAAUGAAAUUAAUAGGCAGUAGCUUUAAAACAAACAAAAGGAAAUAUUUCUUCACCCAACGCACAGUCAACCUGUGGAACUCUGCCAGAGGAUGUUGUGAAGGCCAACACUAUAACAGGGUUCAAAAAGGAACUCCAUAAAUUCAUGGAGGAUAGAUCCAUCAAUGGCUAUUAGAUAGGAUGAGGAGGGAUGGUGUCCCUAGCCUGUUUGCCAGAAGCUAGGAAUGGAUGACAGGGGAUGGAUCACUUGAUGAUUACCUGUUCUGUUCAUUCCCUCUGAAGCACCUGGCAUUGACCACUGUUGGAAGACAGGAUACUAGACUAGAUGGACCUUUGUCUGACACAGUAUGGCCGUUCUUACAAAAGCAUGUUUCUCACCAACAGAAGAUAGAAGAUAUUAUCUCACCCAUCUUGUCUCACUAAUUAUGUAUGUCCAUUAGAGGAACAGCCUGUUCCCCCACCCUCCACAACAGGGUUAUAAUUUGAAGUCUGGGGAUCUCAAUUCUGCCAUAUCCUAACUAAAAUCUCAAUAUACAAACUACAAACAGAAAAAUAAAGUUAAACUGAAACUCUCUUCAUACAUGUGUGUUUUACUGGAGGUAACAGUAACUAACAAGAAACUACAAAAGAGACUGUCAUAAAUAUAAAGGGAAGGGUAAACACCUUUAAAAUCCCUCCUGGCCAGAGGAAAAACCCUUUCACCUGUAAAGGGUUAAAAAGAUAGGAUAACCGUGCUGGCACCUGACCAAAAUGACCAAUGAGGAGACAAGAUACUUUCAAAGCUGGAGGCGGGGAGAAACAAAGGUUCUCUCUGUCUCUGUGUGAGGCUUUUGCCAGGAACAGAAAAGAGUCUUAGAACUUAGUAAGUAAUCUAGCUAGAUAUGAGUUAGAUUCUGUUUUGUUUAAUUUGCAAAUUAGAUACAAUUAACUUAGGCUUGAAUAGAGACUGGGAGUGGUUGAGUCAUUAUAAAAAGUAACCUAUUUCCCCUUGUUUAUUCCUUCCACCACCCCCGCCCCCCACUGUUCCUCAGACGUUCUUGUUAAACCCUGGAUUUGUGCUGGAAAUGGCCCAUCUUGAUUAUCUUACACAUUGUAAGGAGAGGGAUCACUUUAGAUAAGCUAUUACCAGCAGGAGAGUGGGGUGGGGAGAGAGAAAACCUUUUGUAGUGAUAAACACCCAUUUUUUCCAUGGUCUGUGUGUAUAAAAAUAUCCUCACUGCAUUUUCCACUUUAUGCAUCCGAUGAAGUGAGCUGUAGCUCACGAAAGCUUAUGCUCAAAUAAAUUGUUUAGUCUCUAAGGUGC